RNAcentral lists this ribosomal RNA (253 nucleotides) under uncultured bacterium. RNAcentral describes it as "partial 16S ribosomal RNA". It matches the Rfam family "Bacterial small subunit ribosomal RNA", at positions 524 to 776 of the family's 1533-position model. The record is from RNAcentral.
UAAGAAGGGAGCUAGCGCUGUUCGGAACCACUGGGCGUAAAGCGCACGUAGGCGGACGUGUCAGUCAGGGGUGAAAUCCCGGGGCUCAACCUCGGAACUGCCUUUGAUACAGCACGUCUUGAGUCCGGAAGAGGUGGGUGGAAUUCCUAGUGUAGAGGUGAAAUUCGUAGAUAUUAGGAAGAACACCGGUGGCGAAGGCGGCCCACUGGUCCGGUACUGACGCUGAGGUGGGAAAGCGUGGGGAGCAAACAGG